GUUUUAACAUUCUAUUUUUGCCAAUUUUUAUAAAAUAUCAACAAAGUUUAAGACUGCUAUUAAGUGUCUACAUGUGAUAUUGCAAAGAUAAAACAAGUUUGUAUGGCUCAGUAAUUAACUUAUUUUCCCUAUGAUGUAAUUAAGAUUAGAAAGUGAUAGGACAAGGUUGGAGUUUCACUUAUAACUACAAAGGAUUACAUCAAUUUAACGGAGACAAUUUGGCCUGGUACCAGAUAUGAUCAUUACCUCAACCUUUUAGUUUUUACAAGGUCAAUUGGGAUUGUAUUAGAGGAAUGCGUAUUUUAUUAAGUUUUUGUCUAGAAAUUGAACAUACAGCUUUGAUUCACUGGUAUUAGAUACAUCCUUUCAAAACAAACUGAUCAAACACUUUUGGAAUCAGCCUAAUUUAAGUUUCUUAGACUUUUUGUUUAGUGUUUCAUCGACCCACCAUCAUUACAUGGAGUAAUAGAUUUCAAAGAAACUUGAGAUUUAAAAAAACAAUGUGAAAUUAUGUUAUAUCAAGGC
RNAcentral lists this long non-coding RNA (525 nucleotides) under Mytilus galloprovincialis (Mediterranean mussel). Lineage: Eukaryota; Metazoa; Mollusca; Bivalvia; Mytilida; Mytilidae. The record is from RNAcentral.